RNAcentral lists this ribosomal RNA (468 nucleotides) under uncultured bacterium. RNAcentral's name for it is "partial 16S ribosomal RNA". It matches the Rfam family "Bacterial small subunit ribosomal RNA", at positions 28 to 507 of the family's 1533-position model. The record is from RNAcentral.
GACGAACGCUGGCGGCGUGCUUAACACAUGCAAGUCGAACGGAAAGGCCCUGCUUUUGUGGGUUGCUCGAGUGGCGAACGGGUGAGUAACACGUGAGUAACCUGCCCUUGACUUUGGGAUAACUUCAGGAAACUGGGGCUAAUACCGGAUAUGAUCUCCUGCUGCAUGUUGGGGGUUGGAAAGUUUCGGCGGUUGGGGAUGGUCUCGCGGCUUAUGCGCUUGUUGGUGUGGUAGUGGCUUACCAAGGCUUUGACGGGUAGCCGGCCUGAGAGGGUGAACGGCCACAUUGGGACUGAGAGACGGACCAGACGCGUACGGGAGGCAGCAGUGGAGAAUAUUGCAGAAUGGGCGGAAGCCUGAGGCAGCAACGCCGCGUGCGUGAUGACGGCCUACGGGGUGUAAACAGCUUUCGCCGGUGACGAAGAGUGAGUGACGGUAAUGGGUAAAGAAGCACCGGCUAACUACGUG